UAUGCUUUAGCCACAUUGGGCGGCUCAUGCGAGCCGACAAGGGAAAGACGGUGAGAAACCGUCACGGGACCGCCGCUGUAAUCAGGGACGAACGCCGCAAGAUGCCACUGCCGGGAACGGCGGGAAGGCGCGGCAAGUAGAGCGAUCUGAGAGUCAGAACACCUGCCCAGAAAUGCGCUGGACC
Molecule: non-coding RNA, 184 nt
Filed under: Elusimicrobiota bacterium
Lineage: Bacteria; Pseudomonadati; Elusimicrobiota
Source: RNAcentral